RNAcentral lists this unclassified non-coding RNA (329 nucleotides) under soil metagenome. RNAcentral describes it as "partial contains 5.8S ribosomal RNA, internal transcribed spacer 2, and large subunit ribosomal RNA". The stretch from base 1 to 120 matches the Rfam family "5.8S ribosomal RNA", at positions 35 to 154 of the family's 154-position model. The record is from RNAcentral.
GAUGAAGAACGUAGCGAAAUGCGAUAAGUAAUGCGAAUUGCAGAAUUCAGUGAGUCAUCGAAUCUUUGAACGCACAUUGCGCCCCUUGGUAUUCCGAGGGGCAUGCCUGUUCGAGCGUCAUUAUAACCCCUCAAGCUCAGCUUGGUGUUGGGGCCUGCUGCACUGGCAGCCCUUAAAAUCAGUGGCGGCGCCAUCUGGCUCUAAGCGUAGUAAUUCUUCUCGCUAUGGAGUCCUGGUGGAUGCUUGCCAACAACCCCCAAUUUUUCUAUGGUUGACCUCGGAUCAGGUAGGGAUACCCGCUGAACUUAAGCAUAUCAAUAAGCGGAGGA